GACGAACGCUGGCGGCGUGCCUAAUACAUGCAAGUUGAGCGCUGAAGGUUGGUACUUGUACCCACUGGAUGAGCAGCGAACGGGUGAGUAACGCGUGGGGAAUCUGCCUUUGAGCGGGGGACAACAUUUGGAAACGAAUGCUAAUACCGCAUAAAAACUUUAAACACAAGUUUUAAGUUUGAAAGAUGCAAUUGCAUCACUCAAAGAUGAUCCCGCGUUGUAUUAGCUAGUUGGUGAGGUAAAGGCUCACCAAGGCGAUGAUACAUAGCCGACCUGAGAGGGUGAUCGGGCACAUUGGGACUGAGACACGGCCCAAACUCCUACGGGAGGCAGCAGUAGGGAAUCUUCGGAAAUGGAGGAAAGUCUGACCGAGCAACGCCGCGUGAGUGAAGAAGGUUUUCGGAUCGUAAAACUCUGUUGGUAGAGAAGAACGUUGGUGAGAGUGGAAAGCUCAUCAAGUGACGGUAACUACCCAGAAAGGGACGGCUAACUACGUG
Molecule: ribosomal RNA, 497 nt
Filed under: uncultured bacterium
Lineage: Bacteria
Description: partial 16S ribosomal RNA
Rfam family: Bacterial small subunit ribosomal RNA
Source: RNAcentral